AGGGAAUAUUGCGCAAUGGACGGAAGUCUGACGCGGCGACGCCGCGUGAGCGAUGAAGGCCUUCGGGUUGUAAAGCUCUGUCCUUGGGGAAGAAGGUCUUCGGACUUGACGGUACCCAAGAAGAAAGCCCCGGCUAACUACGUGCCAGCAGCCGCGGUAAUACGUAGGGGGCGAGCGUUGUCCGGAAUUACUGGGCGUAAAGGGUGCGUAGGCGGCCCUUUAAGUCAGAUGUGAAAGGCCACGGCUUAACCGUGGGAUUGCAUUUGAAACUGGAGGGCUUGAGUGUCGGAGAGGGUAGUGGAAUUCCCAGUGUAGCGGUGAAAUGCGUAGAUAUUGGGAGGAACACCAGUGGCGAAGGCGACUACCUGGGCGAUAACUGACGCUGAGGCACGAAAGCUAGGGGAGCAAAC
This 410-nucleotide ribosomal RNA is filed under the name uncultured bacterium. Its description in RNAcentral is "bacterial SSU rRNA". It matches the Rfam family "Bacterial small subunit ribosomal RNA", at positions 356 to 773 of the family's 1533-position model. The record is from RNAcentral.